Molecule: ribosomal RNA, 497 nt
Filed under: uncultured bacterium
Lineage: Bacteria
Description: partial 16S ribosomal RNA
Rfam family: Bacterial small subunit ribosomal RNA
Source: RNAcentral
GAUGAACGCUGGCGGCGUGCCUAAUACAUGCAAGUCGAGCGAACAGACGAGGAGCUUGCUCCUCUGACGUUAGCGGCGGACGGGUGAGUAACACGUGGAUAACCUACCUAUAAGACUGGGAUAACUUCGGGAAACCGGAGCUAAUACCGGAUAAUAUAUUGAACCGCAUGGUUCAAUAGUGAAAGACGGUUUUGCUGUCACUUAUAGAUGGAUCCGCGCCGCAUUAGCUAGUUGGUAAGGUAACGGCUUACCAAGACAACGAUGCGUAGCCGACCUGAGAGGGUGAUCGGCCACACUGGAACUGAGACACGGUCCAGACUCCUACGGGAGGCAGCAGUAGGGAAUCUUCCGCAAUGGGCGAAAGCCUGACGGAGCAACGCCGCGUGAGUGAUGAAGGUCUUCGGAUCGUAAAACUCUGUUAUUAGGGAAGAACAAAUGUGUAAGUAACUAUGCACGUCUUGACGGUACCUAAUCAGAAAGCCACGGCUAACUACGUG